GACGAACGCUGGCGGCGUGCUUAACACAUGCAAGUCGAGCGACAGCAUCCUUUCGGGGGUGUAUGGAGCGGCGAACGGGUGAGUAACACGUGAGCAACCUGCCCUUGGCUUUGGGAUAACCCUCGGAAACGGGGGCUAAUACCGGAUAUGACAUCUGAUCGCAUGGUUGGGUGUGUAAAGUUUUUCGGCCAGGGAUGGGCUCGCGGCCUAUCAGCUUGUUGGUGGGGUGAUGGCCUACCAAGGCGACGACGGGUAGCCGGCCUGAGAGGGCGACCGGCCACACUGGGACUGAGACACGGCCCAGACUCCUACGGGAGGCAGCAGUGGGGAAUAUUGCACAAUGGGCGAAAGCCUGAUGCAGCGACGCCGCGUGAGGGAUGAAGGCCUUCGGGUUGUAAACCUCUUUCAGCAGGGACGAAGCGAAAGUGACGGUACCUGCAGAAGAAGCGCCGGCCAACUACGUGCCAGCCGCCG
Molecule: ribosomal RNA, 474 nt
Filed under: uncultured bacterium
Lineage: Bacteria
Description: bacterial SSU rRNA
Rfam family: Bacterial small subunit ribosomal RNA
Source: RNAcentral